RNAcentral lists this non-coding RNA (171 nucleotides) under Sphaerochaeta associata. The record is from RNAcentral. Lineage: Bacteria; Pseudomonadati; Spirochaetota; Spirochaetia; Spirochaetales; Sphaerochaetaceae.
UCCUCUGUGAGGAGGAAUCUGAAGAAAGCCGGCGGCAAACUUCUGGCCUGACGAACAGAAAUCCCAUAAGGCAUUUCCCGGUGGAUAAGGUUGCUAGUCAAACCGAAGUCCGAAGGCUAUACGGAACCGGGGGUGUAAAUGGGGCAGGCGGAUGGAAGGAAAGAGGAUGUU